GGAGCUGAUGCUAAGAGCCGGGCACACAACAAUCAGCCAUGGAAAGUAUCUCGUCGUGUUUGGAGGAUUCUCCUAUGAUCACAAGCUAUUCAAUGACGUCCAUACUCUCGACUUAACGACUGGUGUUUGGGCGACUUCGAAUCCCUCUGGUCCCGGGCCUUCUCCACGUUUCUCCCUUGCAGGAGAUUCCGUGGACGCAGAGCGAGGCAUAUGAUUCUUCUAUGGGGGAUGUAACGAAGAGCUUGAAGCUCUGGAUGACAUGUAUUUCCUCGACACAGAGAUGCUGAGGGAGAAAGAUCCAUCAGAACCAAAGCUAUCCAUGCGUAAGGAACUUAAGAGAAGGCGGCAAGAGUAUCAUGCCACGCCAUUCGUGCUAGACAAGCAACGGGAUGCAGACAAGAGCU
Molecule: long non-coding RNA, 404 nt
Organism: Selaginella moellendorffii
Lineage: Eukaryota; Viridiplantae; Streptophyta; Lycopodiopsida; Selaginellales; Selaginellaceae
Exons: 3
Source: RefSeq, a predicted model, not a curated record